UAGUGAGGUCUUCGGAUUGGCUUUGGGGAGCCGGCGACGGCACCCUAUCGCUGAGAAGUCGAUCAAACUUGGUCAUUUAGAGGAAGUAAAAGUCGUAACAAGGUUUCCGUAGGUGAACCUGCGGAAGGAUCAUUAUUGAAAUUAUAGGUGAGGGUUGUAGCUGGCCUCUCGGGGCAUGUGCACGCCCGAGCCCUUAAUCCACACACACCUGUGAACCUAUUGUAAGGGCCCUUAAAAAAGGCCUUUACGUCUUAUCAUCAACCCAUCGUAUGUCUCAUAGAAUGUAAAUAUAUGUCCUCGCCUUAAAAAGCGUUGAUAAACUUAUACAACUUUCAACAACGGAUCUCUUGGCUCUCGCAUCGAUGAAGAACGCAGCGAAAUGCGAUAAGUAAUGUGAAUUGCAGAUUUUCAGUGAAUCAUCGAAUCUUUGAACGCACCUUGCGCUCCUUGGUAUUCCGAGGAGCAUGCCUGUUUGAGUGUCAUUAAAUUCUCAACUCNGAUCGAUUUGUUUCGACUUCGGAGCUUGGAUUUGGAGCGUGCUGGCGUCGGUCGGCUCCUCUUAAAUGCAUCAGCGGAAUCUAACGUUUCGGANGUCAGUGUGAUAAUCAUGUUGCGCUGUCUGUCUGAUCCGAAAGCCCGCUCACAAUGGUCUUCGGACAACUUCAUAUCAAAUUUGACCUCAAAUCAGGUAGGACUACCCGCUGAACUUAAGCAUAUCAAUAAGCGGAGGAAAAGAAACUAACAAGGAUUCCCCUAGUAACUGCGAGUGAAGCGGGAAAAGCUCAAAUUUAAAAUCUGGCGGUCUUGCGGCCGUCCGAGUUGUAAUCUGGAGAAGCGUUUAUCCGCGUCGGACCGUGUACAAGUCUUCUGGAAGGGAGCGUCGUAGAGGGUGAGAAUCCCGUCUUUGACACGGACAACCGGUGCUUUUGUGAUGCGCUCUCGAAGAGUCGAGUUG
Molecule: ribosomal RNA, 955 nt
Filed under: Piloderma olivaceum
Lineage: Eukaryota; Fungi; Basidiomycota; Agaricomycetes; Atheliales; Atheliaceae
Description: eukaryotic LSU rRNA
Rfam family: Eukaryotic large subunit ribosomal RNA (bases 675-955)
Source: RNAcentral